ACCAGAGGCGCACACAUUCAAAAUAUGGUCUGAGACAUUUUUCCUCCGCGCCAAAAAUCAUCUCCGGUGGCGGCGGAGGUCCAAUCAUCCAACACAACAUACCCUGAGAACCGUCUCAACUCGCUGGUCCUCAUUUUAAACAUGGAUAUCUCUAAUUCUUCGCCAAACUCAAGAAUUGGAGAAGACUAGAGUGGAAACCCUAGGUCUCAAAUCCUCAAUUACAGACCAAUGAGUAAAGAAAUGGAGCUCAAACCAUAUGGGUUUGACUCCUCGCGCAGAGGCUUACAUCACAGCAAAAAGAAGUGGUCAAGAAAAUGAGUUUUCACCAACCUUCGAAGCGGAGGUGUGCUUAGGUGUUCGUUGAAAUUGAAGAAGACGAAACUCAAGAAAAUACCGGAGAAAUAUGAUUAUCCAUGUAUAAUGAUUCAAAUCCUUGCUUUGCGUAUCAUAUUCCUUCUUCUACUUCUUCUUGUUCUGAUCAGUGAGGGGAGUGAGGUUCAGCUCAACCUGAUUGAAGCUUCGAUGAGAAGCUUCAAUUGUUAUGAAUUUGGAGCUCUGAGUGAGGGUUGAAAGGUUUUGCAGAGUGAGAUUCUGAGCUUGAAGGCGAUGACAAAAGUGACAGCAUGAUAAUGAUGAUGAUGAUGAUGGUGUUUAAAUAGGAAUUAGGUUCGAAUUUCAUGUAGGUUUGGAGUGAGGCUUAGAGUUUGUUACGAUUGGCUCACUGAGUUAACUGUUAACUCAGUUAGUUAGUGGAUUGAAACUCAGUUAGUUAGUGGAUUGAAUGAAUGAGUCUAAAUUUGUUAAUUAAAAUACUCAAACUCUUACCUUUGACUGAUUAUUGCAGGUUGAAACUUAAGUGGAAUUAGGCUUAAUCAUGAGUGAUGAUCUGCUGAACAGGUUUACCCUUUAAUACAAGCUUGGUUAGUGCUGUGAAAUGGAACUUGUGAAUUAGUUUAGGCAAUGUUAUAUGUGUUGGUUGUAGCUGGUACAGGUUUCUUGUGUUUGGGUUGAUGCAUAUUGCUUGACAAUUUCAGGUUGGUAACUCAUAUGGAAGUAAGGUAGGGCAAACUGGUUGAUUGAUCAGGAUGAAAUGUUGCCUUCAUGCUGCAAGAUUGUUGAGCUGGAGAUGGUGAGUUGAAUUGUUGUGCUCAUAUUGAAGUUGUGUUCAUUGCUUUGUUGUCUUUGAUUGUUGUAGAUUUGUUGGGAUGUUGCAGCAUUAUGUUGUUGCAGGAUUGACUUGCAGCAUUGUGUAGUGCAUUUCCAACUGAAAGUGAGAUUGAGUUGUGGAUUUGUUGCACUUACCUGCUGCAUAUUUGUUAUGGUUUGUUUGAUGUUUUUCUUAUUGUUGUGUUGCUAUUGUGAGCAAUUAUGCUACUGUUGUAGUUUGUGUGUUACAGGCUGAUAUUAUUGAGAUUGUUUGGACUUUGUAGGCUUGGUUAAGGCAUUGUUAUUGCGGAAAUUAUUGCAGAUUUAUUGAUGUGGUUGCUGACUUAUUGCAGGGUUUUAUAAUAGUGUUUUUGUGUUGAUUAUGGUCUGCAGUGGUAUGCUUAUGUUGCAAGCUAGUUCCUAAUCCGGCCUUAAGCAGGAUUUGCAUGUUUUUGGUGCAUGUUCUUAGUCAUGUUGUGUUGCAAUUGCAUGGUGUGCAUUCUGAUGCAUUGUAGGUCUGGUAUUGCCUUGACAAUUUUGAAUUUGUCUCUGCAGGAUGCUAACUGUUUUGCACUAUGAUGCUUGCAGUAUGUCAUGAACUAUUUGCCACCUGCUUUGAUCAACAUGUUGCAUUGCUGUUGGAUGGUGUUGUGGUCUGACUUUGUUCCCUGGCUAUGCAUGAUGAUGGUGAGCAUUUGACAGAUUGGUAUUUGGCAUGAUUAGCAUAGGUCUUGUUAGCAACAGGGUGGUUUGAAGUUCAACUGAGUUCUGCAACUCAAUGAUUAGAAGCUGAAUACUCACUUGUGUGCAUGAUGUAAGACCACAUGCUGGUGGAAUUGUGCAUACUAGCAGGGUGCAACAAGGCCAACACCAAACACACUUAGGCAUGGGCAAGCAAAUGCAAGUAUGAAGCCAUAAGGUGGAAAUCCAAAUUCAAAUGGUUAGCUCAAGGUCAAGAUGGCCAUGGGAGAUGAAGUUAGGGAUAUGGUUGGUUAUGUAAUGUUUUUAUGGUGAAAAAUAAAUUGGGUUGACUUUGGUCAAAGUUGACCAAAAAAUCAACUGUUGAUCAAAGCUAAGACUUGGCCAAAAUUGUCAGUUUCUUGUAUUCUUUCAUGUGAUGGACACUUUUAUGGUUUAUGAAUGGGAAUUGAUGCUUGUUUGACAA
Lathyrus oleraceus (garden pea) is the source of this 2311-nucleotide long non-coding RNA. RefSeq lists it as uncharacterized. The transcript has 2 exons. NCBI's taxonomy places the organism in Eukaryota, Viridiplantae, Streptophyta, Magnoliopsida, Fabales, Fabaceae. The record is from RefSeq and is a predicted model, not a curated record.